This 498-nucleotide ribosomal RNA is filed under the name uncultured bacterium. RNAcentral describes it as "partial 16S ribosomal RNA". It matches the Rfam family "Bacterial small subunit ribosomal RNA", at positions 30 to 523 of the family's 1533-position model. The record is from RNAcentral.
AUUGAACGCUGGCGGCAUGCCUUACACAUGCAAGUCGAACGGUAACGGGCCUUCGGGCGCCGACGAGUGGCGAACGGGUGAGUAAUGUAUCGGAACGUACCAUUGAGUGGGGGAUAACGUAGCGAAAGUUACGCUAAUACCGCAUAUUCUCUCCGGAGGAAAGCAGGGGACCGCAAGGCCUUGCGCUCUUUGAGCGGCCGAUAGCAGAUUAGCUAGUUGGUGGGGUAAAAGCUCACCAAGGCGACGAUCUGUAGCGGGUCUGAGAGGAUGACCCGCCACACUGGAACUGAGACACGGUCCAGACUCCUACGGGAGGCAGCAGUGGGGAAUUUUGGACAAUGGGGGCAACCCUGAUCCAGCCAUGCCGCGUGAGUGAAGAAGGCCUUCGGGUUGUAAAGCUCUUUCAGCCGGGAAGAAAUCGCAUGGGCUAAUACCCCGUGCGGAUGACGGUACCGGAAUAAGAAGCACCGGCUAACUACGUGCCAGCCGCCGCAGUAA